Molecule: ribosomal RNA, 350 nt
Filed under: uncultured bacterium
Lineage: Bacteria
Description: bacterial SSU rRNA
Rfam family: Bacterial small subunit ribosomal RNA
Source: RNAcentral
UAGGGAAUAUUGGACAAUGGGGGCAACCCUGAUCCAGCCAUGCCGCGUGUGUGAAGAAGGCCUUCGGGUUGUAAAGCACUUUCAGUGGGGAGGAAGGUUCUGCGGUUAAUAAGCGCAGGGAUUGACGUUACCUACAGAAGCAGCACCGGCUAACUCCGUGCCAGCAGCCGCGGUAAUACGGAGGGUGCAAGCGUUAAUCGGAAUUACUGGGCGUAAAGCGCGCGUAGGCGGUUUGUUAAGUCGGAAGUGAAAGCCCUGGGCUCAACCUGGGAAUGGCUUUCGAUACUGGCAGGCUAGAGUACGGUAGAGGGGGUAGAAUUCCACGUGUAGCGGUGAAAUGCGUAGAGAUG